UACAGAGGGGGCAAGCGUUGUUCGGAAUUACUGGGCGUAAAGGGCGCGUAGGCGGCCCGCUAAGUCGAACGUGAAAUCCCCGAGCUCAACUCGGGAACUGCGUCCGAUACUGGUGGGCUUGAAUCCGGGAGAGGGAUGCGGAAUUCCAGGUGUAGCGGUGAAAUGCGUAGAUAUCUGGAGGAACACCGGUGGCGAAGGCGGCAUCCUGGACCGGCAUUGACGCUGAGGCGCGAAAGCGUGGGGAGCGAACAGG
This 253-nucleotide ribosomal RNA is filed under the name uncultured bacterium. RNAcentral describes it as "partial 16S ribosomal RNA". It matches the Rfam family "Bacterial small subunit ribosomal RNA", at positions 524 to 776 of the family's 1533-position model. The record is from RNAcentral.